RNAcentral lists this ribosomal RNA (528 nucleotides) under uncultured bacterium. RNAcentral describes it as "bacterial SSU rRNA". It matches the Rfam family "Bacterial small subunit ribosomal RNA", at positions 777 to 1304 of the family's 1533-position model. The record is from RNAcentral.
AAUAGAUACCCCGGUAGUCCACGCCGUAAACGAUGUCGACUUGGAGGUUGUGCCCUUGAGGCGUGGCUUCCGGAGCUAACGCGUUAAGUCGACCGCCUGGGGAGUACGGCCGCAAGGUUAAAACUCAAAAUGAAUUGACGGGGGCCCGCACAAGCGGUGGAGCAUGUGGUUUAAUUCGAUGCAACGCGAAGAACCUUACCUACUCUUGACAUCCAGAGAACUUUCCAGAGAUGGAUUGGUGCCUUCGGGAACUCUGAGACAGGUGCUGCAUGGCUGUCGUCAGCUCGUGUUGUGAAAUGUUGGGUUAAGUCCCGCAACGAGCGCAACCCUUAUCCUUUGUUGCCAGCGGUUCGGCCGGGAACUCAAAGGAGACUGCCAGUGAUAAACUGGAGGAAGGUGGGGAUGACGUCAAGUCAUCAUGGCCCUUACGAGUAGGGCUACACACGUGCUACAAUGGCGUAUACAAAGAGAAGCGACCUCGCGAGAGCAAGCGGACCUCAUAAAGUACGUCGUAGUCCGGAUUGGAGU